This 71-nucleotide transfer RNA is filed under the name Methanobacteriota archaeon. Its description in RNAcentral is "Euryarchaeota archaeon tRNA-Gly". It matches the Rfam family "tRNA". From Rfam's summary of the family: Transfer RNA (tRNA) molecules are approximately 80 nucleotides in length. Their secondary structure includes four short double-helical elements and three loops (D, anti-codon, and T loops). Lineage: Archaea; Methanobacteriati; Methanobacteriota. The record is from RNAcentral.
GCACUGGUAGUUUAGUGGUAGAAUUCGUCCCUGCCACGGACGGGACCCGGGUUCGAAUCCCGGCCAGUGCA